Hypanus sabinus (Atlantic stingray) is the source of this 859-nucleotide long non-coding RNA. RefSeq lists it as uncharacterized. Lineage: Eukaryota; Metazoa; Chordata; Chondrichthyes; Myliobatiformes; Dasyatidae. The record is from RefSeq and is a predicted model, not a curated record. The transcript is spliced from 3 exons.
GGCCUCGUAAAGGCCGAGGCAGUCCCUGCAGUUGGGGCUGGGGGAAUCUGGAGGAUUUUAACUGAAACUCUGAUGUAAAAGAAUUCCAACCCCUCUCACGGGUGAAAUGUUAACCCUUAAACAGCGUCAAUAAAGACAAGCUUAACGAUGCCCUUCCUAUCAAAGGGGUGACAAAACUGCCCACAAUACUCCUGGUCCAUCAUGGGUCAGAUGCCGCCCCCACCAUCUUGAGGACAUCUUCAAAAGGAGAAGACUCUAGAAGAAAGCAAUCGAAACUUGGCGUGUCCCUGUCGACACUCAUCACCCUUUGUAUUUGCAUCAUAGAAAGUAUCCAAUCAGGAUGCACCACAGCUUGGUAAGGCAACUGCUCUGCUCAAGACUGCAAGGAACUGCAGCGAGUUGCAGGCACCUUUCAGCAUAUGAUGAAAACCAGCCUCUGCAUUGCAAACAUGAGGAAAUCUGCAGAUGCUGGAAAUUCAAACAACCCACACAAAAUGCUGGUGGAACACAGCAUUUUGACAAAGGGUCUCGGCCCGAAACGUCGACAGUGCUUCUCCUUAUAGAUGCUGUCCGGCCUGCUGUGUUCCACCAGCAUUUUGUGUGUGUUCUCUGCAUUGCGAAAUCAGUCAACACAAUCAGAGACCCCUCCCACCAUAGACAAUUUCUCUUCACCCCACUUCCAUUGGGCAGAAGAUACAAAAACUUGAAAACACAGACCACCAGGCUCAAGCACAGCCUCUAUAAGACCAUUGAACAGAUUACUUGUACAAUAAAGAUGAAUUCUUGAUGUCACAAUCUACCUUGUCGUGGCCUUGCAACUUAUUGUCUACCUGCACUACACUUUCUCUGUAACUGUAAC